This 253-nucleotide ribosomal RNA is filed under the name uncultured bacterium. RNAcentral's name for it is "partial 16S ribosomal RNA". It matches the Rfam family "Bacterial small subunit ribosomal RNA", at positions 524 to 776 of the family's 1533-position model. The record is from RNAcentral.
UACGUAGGGGGCUAGCGUUGUCCGGAAUCAUUGGGCGUAAAGAGCGCGUAGGCGGCUCGGUAAGUCCGCUGUAAAAGUCAAAGGCUCAACCUUUGAAAGUCAGUGGAUACUGCCGGGCUAGAGUCCGGAAGAGGCGAGUGGAACUCCUGGUGUAGCGGUGAAAUUCGUAGAUAUUCGGAAGAACACCAGUGGCGAAGGCGGCUCACUGGCCCGGUACUGACGCUGAGGUGCGAAAGCGUGGGGAGCAAACAGG